This 230-nucleotide long non-coding RNA is filed under the name Elaeis guineensis (African oil palm). Its description in RNAcentral is "long non-coding RNA (EGUI_LNC033380)". Lineage: Eukaryota; Viridiplantae; Streptophyta; Magnoliopsida; Arecales; Arecaceae. The record is from RNAcentral.
UUUCCCCUCUUUUAAGAAAUUUCAAAUAUUUUCUCUUAAGUCUUUUUGAUGUGUAAAAUCUCUAAAAAAAGAAUUUUGACAAUAUGAAGGAUGGAGAAGGAAGAACUAUCUAGUAGUUUCUUCUCUCGUCUAACUAAUCACUCUAAUAUUUGAAUUCUUAGAUGAUCUGGACUAGCCCAUCAUGGGUAGGCCAAUUAGAUUCAAAACCUAUCAUCUCUCACUUGCAUAUC